UACAGAGGGUGCGAGCGUUAAUCGGAAUUACUGGGCGUAAAGGGCGCGUAGGCGGUUGGAUAAGUCAGCUGUGAAAACCACGGGCUUAACUCGUGGCCUGCAGUUGAGACUGUCUGGCUUGAGUGUGGGAGAGGAGAGUGGAAUUCCUGGUGUAGCGGUGAAAUGCGUAGAUAUCGGGAGGAACACCAGUGGCGAAGGCGGCUACCUGGCCCACUCUUGACGCUGAGGCGCGAAAGCUAGGGGAGCAAACGGG
This 253-nucleotide ribosomal RNA is filed under the name uncultured bacterium. Its description in RNAcentral is "partial 16S ribosomal RNA". It matches the Rfam family "Bacterial small subunit ribosomal RNA", at positions 524 to 776 of the family's 1533-position model. The record is from RNAcentral.